Molecule: long non-coding RNA, 130 nt
Organism: Haliotis rubra (blacklip abalone)
Lineage: Eukaryota; Metazoa; Mollusca; Gastropoda; Lepetellida; Haliotidae
Exons: 3
Source: RefSeq, a predicted model, not a curated record
GCACAACACACUACUUCGCCCCUUACUUCACCUAGACGGGUGGUUGAACUGGCCCGGUUCUAUCAAUCGGCUGGCAACGCCAAGCCCUGUGCUACGUCUAUGUACUAUUGCACCAAAUUUUGAGAAUUAU